Molecule: ribosomal RNA, 230 nt
Filed under: uncultured bacterium
Lineage: Bacteria
Description: partial 16S ribosomal RNA
Rfam family: Bacterial small subunit ribosomal RNA
Source: RNAcentral
UACGUAGGCGGAAAAUUAAGUCAGUAGUGAAAUCCUGCAGCUUAACUGUAGAACUGUUAUUGAUACUGGUUUUCUUGAAUAUAGUUGAGGUAGGCGGAAUGUGUAAAUGUAGCGGUGAAAUGCCUAGAUAUUACACAGAACACCGAUUGCGAAGGCAGCUUACUAAGCUAUGAUUGACGCUGAGGUACGAAAGCGUGGGGAGCGAACAGGAUUAGAUACCCUGGUAGUCC